This 497-nucleotide ribosomal RNA is filed under the name uncultured bacterium. RNAcentral describes it as "partial 16S ribosomal RNA". It matches the Rfam family "Bacterial small subunit ribosomal RNA", at positions 28 to 507 of the family's 1533-position model. The record is from RNAcentral.
GAUGACCGCUGGCGGCGUGCCUAAUACAUGCAAGCUGAGCGAACAGACCCGGAUCUUGCUCCUCUGACGUUAGCGGCGGACGGGUGAGUAACACAUGGUUAACCUAUCUAUAUGACUGUGAUCACUUCGGAAAACCGCAGCUACUCCCGAACAAUAUAUUUAACCCCCUCGUUUACUCAUCUUAGACGAUUUUCUUGUCUCACCUCGUUCUCCCCGCUCUUCAUUAGCUACUUGGUAAGGUAACGGCUUACCAAGGCAACGAUGCGUAGCGGACCUGAGAGGGUGAUCGGCCACACUGUAACUGAGACACGGUCCAGACUCCUACGGGAGGCAGCAGUAGGGAAUCUUCCGCAAUGGGCGAAAGCUUGACGGAGGAACGCCGCGUGAGUGAUGAAGGUCUGCGGAUCGUAAAACGCUGUUAUUAGGGAAGAACAAAUGUGUAAGUAACUAUGCACGUCUUGACGGUACCUAAUCAGAAAGCCACGGCUAACUACGUG